Molecule: microRNA, 22 nt
Filed under: Equus caballus (horse)
Lineage: Eukaryota; Metazoa; Chordata; Mammalia; Perissodactyla; Equidae
Description: eca-miR-9036
Source: miRBase by way of RNAcentral
ACUGCACUGACCUGGGGUGAGU